CACUAACCCUAAAAUUUUCAUUUAUAGGAACACUGACAUUUCCACCAAAAACAUAAGCAGAAGGCGUAAGCGGAUCCUUUGUAUUUCAACCAAUCUCUCCCAAUUGUCAUAGAUUUUAUACAAUCGGGAAAGUUUAGAGCACUUCUCUUCAUCAUCUGCGCGUGUAAGUGAGUAGAAUCUGUGGCAACUGGUAGAGACGGGUUGGAACUACACUAAGGAGAGACGAGUUUCGUGAAAUUGCUCUGUUUCAUCAUCUUUCAGAUCCAGAUUCAGUCCGAAGUUGUGGAUGGUAAAUAAUUGGCUACUGAGUUCGUUUAGCCUUCUCAUAAUAUUUUCUUAACCUCACUCUCAUGGUUUUAUAUUUUCAGUAUUGAAAUUUCAUUUGAAUGUUAGAAUUUAGAUGAAUAUACUUAAAAUCUCACAAGUUUUUGGCCUCUAAAAAAUCCAGAAUUUUCGGGAGGCAUCUUAACACGCGUAGCUAUUUUCUGUUUAGUGCGUUGAAAGUUAACUUUAUUAGUUAUUUGCAUCUAGGGCUGAAAAUAGAUUGGAUAUGGACUGGAUCAAUCCAUAUCUUUCCAUAUCCGAUCUGAUAAGAAUAAUUCAUUGAUUCAAUCCGAUAAUUCAUGGGUAUUUGAUUGUUAAAUUUAUAUUCGAUUUGUUAUGAUAUCAAAUAUUCGAUUCAAUCCAAUAAUCCGAUCCGAAACAUUUUACACAUUCUUUUUUCAUUGAAAGAGUCGAUUUUCAAUUUGAUUGCAAUAUUUAUUAUAAUUUACUAAUUUUAUGUUGAAAUUUGAUCAGUUUGACAUUAUUCAAAAAACCCAUAAAAUAUACACGUCUCAAAAUGAAAAAAUUGUGUAAUAAAUUAUGCUGUAAUAUAUAAAAUAUAUUAUAUUAUUAUAACAAAUUGGAUAGUUCGGGUUAUUGGAUUGAGACCCUAAUUUUUUCGAAUCAAAAUUCAAUUCGUAGAUUGCCCUAUUUGAAAUUUUGUUUAAUUAGGAUAUCUCCAGCCUUGUAUCAAGUUAGUGUAAUCCAUUCUAGUGGUACAUUAAAACACCACACCAUAAUAUAUUUUUCGAAAAUUUUCAUUAUCUCUAUUUUGCGGUUCAUUUUAUAUUAUAAUAAUUUUUAAUUUAAUCUAAUUUUAUUUUAAUCUGAUUACUAAUUAACAUAUAUUUGUAAUAUUGAACUUAUUAAAAUAAAAUUCAAAAGCUACAAAUUUUAUAAUUAGAAAUUAAGAAAAUUUUGCAUUGGAAAUGCAUAAAUAAAUGAAAUUACUAAAACUCAAAAGUUAUAAGUUUCAUAGGUAGAAAUUAAAAAGAAAUUAGCACUGGAACAACAUUAUUUUUGAAAGAUAAAUUUUAAAGUAAAAUACAAUAUUAAACUAAAACAAUAAUUUAGUAUUUAGGAAGAUCAUUUCUAGAUCCUCCAAGAAUUAAGUGACAAAAUUAGUUGGAUUUUUAUUAUGUGUAUUUUUCUUGCGUUAAAUGUAAUUUUUUUUAACUGUGGUUUUAGUUAAAAUACAAUAUUUUGAUACAUUAAAUGUAAUUUUUAAUUUAAUAUUUUCAUUAAUGAUAUAAUUUGUAAUCAAAUAAUUUUGAAAUAAAUUAAUUGUGAAGAAAUAAAAUAAAAAAAUAUAGGAAAUACUAUUCAUUUGGUGUAAUUGUUGGAGAUGACAUUACUCUUUGUAUCUGAAAAAAAUAUGUAACAGGUUGCUUGGAUUUUGGACCAGAUGUAUUUCCCUUGUGAGUAUAAAAGCAGUCCCAGGGAACACUGAAUGUUCUUGAUGAUAAAAUGGUGAUCCUUCAUUUCAAACAUUGUGCUUAUGCUCAUUUGAUUCUUUGGUGGCCACAUCUCUUUUGAGAGGUGAUCCUGUUUAUCUUUUACUAUGUGGAUAUGCAUAGAAGUAUUAAGGAUUUGUUUGGUAGUGAUUAUGAGAAUUUAAUUUUUUGACCGUUGAAGAGAAAAUUGAGUUCUACCCGUGAGUGAAGAAGUAAAAAAUAACAGCUGGAAUAGUGAAAUAACCGUCGAAAAUUUGAUUUUUUUGGGUGAAAAAUUGCUACCAAUUGGGGCUAAAUAUGAAUUUUUAUUUUUUUAUUUUUUAUGCAUGUCAACCCCAUAAAUUCAUUUGUAUGUUGCUGUCAUUUGAAACUUGCAUCAGUUAAUAUGAAACAACCUUGUAUCUUUUCCUCCAUUUUCUUGUAAAACUUCAUAUUCUUCAAGAAUUCUCAGUAAAUCCAUCCUUCUGCGCUUCCGGCCCUAGCAUUCCGUUUUAUAGUAGAGAUAGCAGUGGUGAGUCCUCCUAGUUGAAAUAUAGCAGUCUGCGGAUGCCUAAUGCUAUGCCCAUUUCAUUCGAAGAAAUAAAGAACGCAACCAUAAAUUUUUGGGCUGACAGCAUUUUAGAUAAGGAGGCCUGGCCUUGGUCAUAUUUUCGAUGGAUAGAUCAAUGAUCACACUCACUGCUAAAGAAGCCAGGCUUGGAAAUGACAGUUUGCCAUCAAAAAGUCGAAUCCCAAUGGAACGCCAGCGUUCAAGGAAUGGUUGGUAGCUUCUUUGGCGUCGUACUUGAGAGUCUUGCGACUUCAUUCUGAACUUUCCAAUAAACUGAUUUGGUAUCCACCCGAAGUUUUGCAGAUGGAAAUAUGGAAGUGAAUUUUCCGCCGCAACGUCGUCACCGAAGCCCGGUUAAAUUUAUUGUUCACUGGGACGAGGGUGACCACCUGCUUUUGGUAUUUGAGUUCAUGCCAAAAGCAAGCCUAGACUAUCAGUUUUUCAAAAGCAGGUUGCAUUGAAAUAACUUCGAGUUUGUGGCGUGGGCUGCGUGGCUGCCUAACAUAUCUGUCUAUUUUGAACAAGCCUUGUAUAUUCAUUUAAUCAUAAUGAUAAUGAUGUAAUUGUAAGACGUUUUCAAAGUAUUAAAAUACGUAUUAAUUUAUUAUCAUUAAUAUUUUGUUUUAAAAAAAAAUAUAUGUUUUAAUUUUUG
This 2980-nucleotide long non-coding RNA is filed under the name Olea europaea subsp. europaea. The record is from RNAcentral. Lineage: Eukaryota; Viridiplantae; Streptophyta; Magnoliopsida; Lamiales; Oleaceae.